RNAcentral lists this ribosomal RNA (256 nucleotides) under uncultured bacterium. RNAcentral's name for it is "partial 16S ribosomal RNA". It matches the Rfam family "Bacterial small subunit ribosomal RNA", at positions 524 to 776 of the family's 1533-position model. The record is from RNAcentral.
UACAGAGGUCCCGAGCGUUGUUCGGAUUCACUGGGCGUAAAGGGUGCGUAGGUGGUUAGGUAAGUCCGAUGUGAAAUCUCCAGGCCCAACCUGGAAAUGGCAUUGGAUACUAUUUAGCUUGAGGAGUGGAGGGGGGACUGGAAUUCUCGGUGUAGCAGUGAAAUGUGUAGAUAUCGAGAGGAACACCCAGUGGCGAAGGCGAGUCCCCUGGACACUUCCUGACACUGAGGCACGAAAGCUAGGGGGAGCAAAACGG